RNAcentral lists this ribosomal RNA (408 nucleotides) under uncultured bacterium. RNAcentral describes it as "partial 16S ribosomal RNA". It matches the Rfam family "Bacterial small subunit ribosomal RNA", at positions 28 to 526 of the family's 1533-position model. The record is from RNAcentral.
GACGAACGCUGGCGGCGUGCUUAACACAUGCAAGUCGAACGAAGUGGCGAACGGGUGAGUAACGCGUAAUCAACCUGCCCUUCAGAGGGGGACAACAGUGGGAACCGACUGCUAAAACCGCAUACGGAAGGAGGGGAUUGCGGCGGAUUAGCUAGUUGGAGGGGUAACGGCCCACCAAGGCGAUGAGCAGUAGCCUGUCUGGGAGGAUGAACGGCCACAUUGGGACUGGGACACGGCCCAGACUCCUACGGGAGGCAGCAGUGGGGAAUCUUCCGCAAUGGACGAAAGUCUGACGGAGCAACGCCGCGUGAGUGAUGACGGCCUUCGGGUUGUAAAGCUCUUUUAAUCGGGACGCGGUACCGGAAUAGAAAGCCACGGCUAACUCCGUGCCAGCAGCCGCGGUAAUUC